This is a long non-coding RNA of Ornithodoros turicata, 1569 nucleotides long. RefSeq lists it as uncharacterized. The transcript is spliced from 3 exons. The record is from RefSeq and is a predicted model, not a curated record. Lineage: Eukaryota; Metazoa; Arthropoda; Arachnida; Ixodida; Argasidae.
CGCAAAACAUUCAAGAGGGGGCGUCACUAGCACUCCGAAACUUUAGGGCUUUAGUUUGGCGCAUUUUGCCAGUUUAGUGCUCGGAGCUUGUAAGAAGCCGAUAAAGAGUAUAAUUAAGUUCUCGAAGUGCACCACGGUAGCCCGUUGUGGUUUGUGUACGGAAAGAAUGAUCCCUGUAACUGGAAUCGUGUUUACUGUAGUUGCUGGUGUAACACUAGCGCUGCUUAUCUGGAACCAGGUUCAAACGCAGCGGCAGCGGCAGUCCGGAUAUCGAGCCCAACGUGCGUGGGCCCCGCGUAGUACCCAGAGACCCGCACGACCUCGUAUCGGGUCUGGCAGCGCCCCGGGACCAUCGCGUCGAAACUGGGACAGCGGAGAUAAUCCGUGCUCCAUUUGCCUGGACGAGCUCGACGGCACCCACACCCAGGUGACCAACUCUUGCGGUCACACGUUUCACUCGGACUGUCUACUAGACUGGUACGAGAACAAAGACACCUGUCCCAUCUGCCGAGCUUCUAUACUGCCAAAAAUGAUUUUCCAUUGAUAAGGGGAAGUGAUAAUCGCCGCCUAUCUUUUUGUCGUCUCUUCUCUCUGCCCCGUUCCCUGUGCUAGUCUGUCUUGCAAGAUAAACACCAACACACCCGGUUUUUUUAACUUUGAUAGGGGCUGCGACCUUUUUUUCUUUUUUACAAACUGCUUUCCAACUUCCAGUACUGAUAUACUUCACCCCCCUGUGUGUCAAUACCCCCAUGGUACUUCCACCAUGGACUGUGUUUCAAAAGGAAAGACUCUGCUACACGUCAACUGUGACCAGUUCAGCAGUUGAACAGCCAAUCUAAUCAAGUGAGGUCAUCAGUGGUCGGCUAUAUGCGCCCUCUUUUUGGCUUCACACCGCGGCGUUCCACAAGCACACUUUCCAGGAACUUCUGACCGAACUACCAUCAUAUCAAGGGAGCAACUUGUGCCUUAAUGUCAGCCUCGACGAAACGACUUUGCCACACAUGCUGGGUACAUGUACGUCCUGCAAUGCGGCAACGAUAAUGCAACAAUUACUUGGAGGUGUUCAUUGUGCUACGAAAACCAUUGGGCAGUAAAUAUGAUGACGUAAGGUAGCAAACGUCGUGAGGACAUCUACUUCAUGGACACUGCGGGUACAUGCCUCGAAUCUCAUGUACCCACUCUGCAGGUACAUAUUCCGACCAAGUCAUGAGCAUGGCAGCUCGGGAUGUGAGUGCGAUCUCAUAUACUAACGGGUGUCUUUAAUGAAGAGUGCACCUCCUGCAAAGAUACUUACUGGUUUGUCGUAGAAUUAGUGCCAGCGCGUCCGGAUACACAAACACGUUGCUUCUGCCAACACCAUUAUCGUCAACUUGUGCACGCUGUAGCUUGUAACGUUAACGUUCCUUUAAAUUUUAUUUCGUCUGAAUUACCGGUACAGUAUCAAACUCUUUCCCAACAUCCCGUGCUCAAGAAUGACGUACGGAUAGCUGACCCGUACACUUGGACUGACUCCUCGCCUGAUUUUCUUCAACUGCUUUCUGCAUAUGCUCAGAAUAAAUAUAUUUAUAA